Astatotilapia calliptera (eastern happy) is the source of this 1177-nucleotide long non-coding RNA. Lineage: Eukaryota; Metazoa; Chordata; Actinopteri; Cichliformes; Cichlidae. The record is from Ensembl.
UUUUCUUGAGGAAAUAUUGUAUUGUGAUUGCUUUGAUUUAAAAAAAAGUGUAAAGAAAUUGUCGUGCCCACACGAACAUGCAUUGAAUUUCAUUACAAAACCACGUGAAAUCAGUUAAAUUAGUAAGUUAUUGAUUACAUUCAAACAUCGUGACACGUAUACAUAUAUUUUAUUUGGCUCAAAAAGGUCACAGAACAUGUUAAUGUCCUCAGGCCAAAGGGCUUGUUGUUAUAGCGCAUUUGCAAAGAAAAGCUUUUCAGUCAAGUUCAGGGUAGGGUGUCCCAUACCUGACCCAGUCUUAAGAGCAGAAGCAGGUGCAUCGGGGUUUUUAAGUGCGAAGGGUUGCACGGCCCUUUAUAUACAGAAAUCUCCUCCCGCCCACCUCCCCCCUUAUAUAUACAGAGUCAUGUACUGUUGCUUCUCUGUCAGACAUGAAAAAAUACAUUUAAGCCUUAAAUCUUUUCAUUAUCCACUCCUCUCUACAGUUUUACCAUUAGACCACGACUGCCACCAGGAGAACUCCUAUGGUCUGUUGUGGCUAUGACGUCAUUAAGUAAUUAUACGUCCGACCCCGAGUGUUGUGUGUAAAAAGUGUUUUUGAGUGGUGAACAGGCCCUGCCAUUAGUGCAUAGUGAUCGAAGGAACAAUCGUGCAUGUAAUGAGAAAAACUUUGAUGGUGUUUAGUAGUCCCACCCACUGUAGGCAAUGAUAGAGACAAAGGCAGCACUGUAUGAGUAUCAUAGUUACUGUUUCAGGGCAGAGGAUGAAGUGCUUGCUUUAAUUCUCUGGGCCACAACGGUCUGAGCCCAGUCCAAAUUCAGUCAGUGUGUUCAUUCGUCUGGACUCCUUAACCACCACUGCUGCUUCUUUAGUGACCACUGCAGGUCCACAGACAUGUCAUAGAAAUCGUGCGUGAAAACAAAAGUAAAAAUUAUUUCCUUCAGGUAAAGCUUUAACAAGCUCAUAUAUUCACAGAGGCAAAAAAAGCCUGCUCUGUCACUUCUUUCUGUCUUCAGCGUGAUGCUUGAUCGUUAACUCAGAGAGUGUUCGGGAACAAAAGCAGCACACACCCAAUCCAGGGUGUCACUGUGUGUUUGUGACAACCCAGAGUCAAAGUCAGCCCAUGUGAGCAGUGACCUGCGAGGCCCCGCCUCCCGACUGGCUCCCUGCCAGUCCC